GGACAUAUAGCUCAGUGGUAGAGAGCACGCUUAGCAUGCGUGAGGUCCUGGGUUCAAUCCCCAGUAUCUCUA
Molecule: transfer RNA, 72 nt
Filed under: Camelus bactrianus (Bactrian camel)
Lineage: Eukaryota; Metazoa; Chordata; Mammalia; Artiodactyla; Camelidae
Also listed under: 1 other name
Rfam family: tRNA
About the family: Transfer RNA (tRNA) molecules are approximately 80 nucleotides in length. Their secondary structure includes four short double-helical elements and three loops (D, anti-codon, and T loops).
Source: Rfam by way of RNAcentral